This 328-nucleotide unclassified non-coding RNA is filed under the name soil metagenome. Its description in RNAcentral is "partial contains 5.8S ribosomal RNA, internal transcribed spacer 2, and large subunit ribosomal RNA". The stretch from base 1 to 120 matches the Rfam family "5.8S ribosomal RNA", at positions 35 to 154 of the family's 154-position model. The record is from RNAcentral.
GAUGAAGAACGUAGCGAAAUGCGAUAAGUAAUGUGAAUUGCAGAAUUCAGUGAAUCAUCGAAUCUUUGAACGCACAUUGCGCCCCUUGGUAUUCCGAGGGGCAUGCCUGUUCGAGCGUCAUUAUAACCCCUCAAGCUCAGCUUGGUGUUGGGGCCUGCUGCACUGGCAGCCCUUAAAAUCAGUGGCGGCGCCAUCUGGCUCUAAGCGUAGUAAUUCUUCUCGCUAUGGAGUCCUGGUGGAUGCUUGCCAUCAACCCCCAAUUUUUCUAUGGUUGACCUCGGAUCAGGUAGGAUACCCGCUGAACUUAAGCAUAUCAAGAAGCGGAGGA